CCAAUAGCGUAUAUUAAAGUUGUUGCAGUUAAAAAGCUCGUAGUUGAAUUUCGGGAUUGACGUGAUGGUCAUGCCUUAAGGGGUAUGAACUGUUACUGUUGAUUUCUCACCUUCUGGAGAAACUUGAUGUCCUUUAUUGGGUGUCUUGCGGAUCCAGGACCUUUACCUUGAAAAAAUUAGAGUGUUUAAAGCAGGCAUUUUUGCUCGAAUACAUAAGCAUGGAAUAAUAGAAUAGGACGGCAUGGUUCUAUUUUGUUGGUUUCUAGGAUCACCGUAAUGAUUAAUAGGGAUAGUUGGGGGCAUUAGUAUUCAAUUGUCAGAGGUGAAAUUCUUGGAUUUAUUGAAGACUAACUACUGCGAAAGCAUUUGCCAAGGAUGCUUUCAUUAAUCAAGAACGAAAGUUAGGGGAUCGAAGACGAUCAGAUACCGUCGUAGUCUUAACCAUAAACUAUGCCGACUAGGAAUCAGACGAUGUUAAUUUUUUAAUGACUCGUUUGGCACCUUACG
This 507-nucleotide ribosomal RNA is filed under the name uncultured Glomeromycotina. Its description in RNAcentral is "partial small subunit ribosomal RNA". It matches the Rfam family "Eukaryotic small subunit ribosomal RNA", at positions 591 to 1092 of the family's 1831-position model. The record is from RNAcentral. Lineage: Eukaryota; Fungi; Glomeromycota.